This 468-nucleotide small RNA is filed under the name uncultured Paraglomus. RNAcentral describes it as "SSU rRNA". It matches the Rfam family "Eukaryotic small subunit ribosomal RNA", at positions 569 to 1043 of the family's 1831-position model. Lineage: Eukaryota; Fungi; Glomeromycota; Glomeromycetes; Paraglomerales; Paraglomeraceae. The record is from RNAcentral.
AGCAGCCGCGGUAAUUCCAGCUCCAAUAGCGUAUAUUAAAGUUGUUGUGGUUAAAAAGCUCGUAGUUGAACCUUGGGCCUGGCUGGCCGGUCCGCCUCACCGCGUGUACUGGUCCGGCCGGGCCUUUCCCUCUGUGGAACCCCAUGCCCUUCACUGGGUGUGGCGGGGAAACAGGACUUUUACUGUGAAAAAUUAGAGUGCUCCAGGCAGGCCUAUGCUCGAAUACAUUAGCAUGGAAUAAUAGAAUAGGACGUGUGGUUCUAUUUUGUUGGUUUCUAGGACCGCCGUAAUGAUUAAUAGGGACAGUCGGGGGCAUCAGUAUUCAAUUGUCAGAGGUGAAAUUCUUGGAUUUAUUGAAGACUAACUACUGCGAAAGCAUUUGCCAAGGAUGUUUUCAUUAAUCAGGAACGAAAGUUAGGGGAUCGAAGACGAUCAGAUACCGUCGUAGUCUUAACCAUAAACUAUGCC